AGUGCAACACAGCCUCUUCACUUGUCUCUGAGAAAGCCUCCUGAAGGUGAGAUCACUGUAACCAUGCUGAAGGUAGCACUUGUUCUUGGAUGCCUCCUGAGCCUUAUCAUGGCUAAACCUAUGGAGCACCAGCGUUUUGCCCGCUCUAGUUCUGGUUCUGGUUCUAACUCUGACGAGACAACCACCAGGACUACGACCACAGUAGCAGGUGCAACAACUGCACCAGCACUGACCCAACUUAUUGCCCUUCUUCUACAACUACUAAGGCAGCAAUGAUCAAACUGAAAUCAUGUCCAUUUAACAAGAAGACUGAAACAAGACUGCUUCCACAUUCACCAUUUGAUUUAGAUCAGUUCUCACUAAUAUCUGUAGAGACCUCUAAAUAAAGCUCAUAAUUAAAAUGAA
Long non-coding RNA from Girardinichthys multiradiatus, 405 nucleotides. RefSeq lists it as uncharacterized. NCBI's taxonomy places the organism in Eukaryota, Metazoa, Chordata, Actinopteri, Cyprinodontiformes, Goodeidae. The record is from RefSeq and is a predicted model, not a curated record. The transcript has 5 exons.